RNAcentral lists this ribosomal RNA (2785 nucleotides) under Enterobacter sp. HN503E2II. RNAcentral describes it as "bacterial LSU rRNA". It matches the Rfam family "Bacterial large subunit ribosomal RNA". Lineage: Bacteria; Pseudomonadati; Pseudomonadota; Gammaproteobacteria; Enterobacterales; Enterobacteriaceae. The record is from RNAcentral.
GGGUUGUGAGGUUAAGCGACUAAGCGUACACGGUGGAUGCCCUGGCAGUCAGAGGCGAUGAAGGACGUGCUAAUCUGCGAAAAGCGCCGGCGAGGUGAUAUGAACCUUUGACCCGGCGAUGUCCGAAUGGGGAAACCCAGUGCAAUUCGUUGCACUAUCGUUAACUGAAUACAUAGGUUAACGAGGCGAACCGGGGGAACUGAAACAUCUAAGUACCCCGAGGAAAAGAAAUCAACCGAGAUUCCCCCAGUAGCGGCGAGCGAACGGGGAGCAGCCCAGAGUCUGAAUCAGCUUGUGUGUUAGUGGAAGCGUCUGGAAAGUCGCACGGUACAGGGUGACAGUCCCGUACACGAAAGCACACAGGCUGUGAACUCGAAGAGUAGGGCGGGACACGUGGUAUCCUGUCUGAAUAUGGGGGGACCAUCCUCCAAGGCUAAAUACUCCUGACUGACCGAUAGUGAACCAGUACCGUGAGGGAAAGGCGAAAAGAACCCCGGCGAGGGGAGUGAAAAAGAACCUGAAACCGUGUACGUACAAGCAGUGGGAGCACCUUCGUGGUGUGACUGCGUACCUUUUGUAUAAUGGGUCAGCGACUUAUAUUCUGUAGCAAGGUUAACCGUAUAGGGGAGCCGAAGGGAAACCGAGUCUUAACUGGGCGUUAAGUUGCAGGGUAUAGACCCGAAACCCGGUGAUCUAGCCAUGGGCAGGUUGAAGGUUGGGUAACACUAACUGGAGGACCGAACCGACUAAUGUUGAAAAAUUAGCGGAUGACUUGUGGCUGGGGGUGAAAGGCCAAUCAAACCGGGAGAUAGCUGGUUCUCCCCGAAAGCUAUUUAGGUAGCGCCUCGUGAACUCAUCUUCGGGGGUAGAGCACUGUUUCGGCUAGGGGGCCAUCCCGGCUUACCAACCCGAUGCAAACUACGAAUACCGAAGAAUGUUAUCACGGGAGACACACGGCGGGUGCUAACGUCCGUCGUGAAGAGGGAAACAACCCAGACCGCCAGCUAAGGUCCCAAAGUCAUGGUUAAGUGGGAAACGAUGUGGGAAGGCACAGACAGCCAGGAUGUUGGCUUAGAAGCAGCCAUCAUUUAAAGAAAGCGUAAUAGCUCACUGGUCGAGUCGGCCUGCGCGGAAGAUGUAACGGGGCUAAACCAUGCACCGAAGCUGCGGCAGCGACGCGUAUGCGUUGUUGGGUAGGGGAGCGUUCUGUAAGCCGUUGAAGGUGGCCUGUGAGGGUUGCUGGAGGUAUCAGAAGUGCGAAUGCUGACAUAAGUAACGAUAAAGCGGGUGAAAAGCCCGCUCGCCGGAAGACCAAGGGUUCCUGUCCAACGUUAAUCGGGGCAGGGUGAGUCGACCCCUAAGGCGAGGCCGAAAGGCGUAGUCGAUGGGAAACAGGUUAAUAUUCCUGUACUUGGUGUUACUGCGAAGGGGGGACGGAGAAGGCUAUGUUAGCCGGGCGACGGUUGUCCCGGUUUAAGCAUGUAGGCGGAACGAUUAGGUAAAUCCGGUCGUUUUUUAACGCUGAGGUGUGAUGACGAGGCACUACGGUGCUGAAGUAACAAAUGCCCUGCUUCCAGGAAAAGCCUCUAAGCAUCAGGUAACAUCAAAUCGUACCCCAAACCGACACAGGUGGUCAGGUAGAGAAUACCAAGGCGCUUGAGAGAACUCGGGUGAAGGAACUAGGCAAAAUGGUGCCGUAACUUCGGGAGAAGGCACGCUGAUAUGUAGGUGAAGCCCCUGCGGGUGGAGCUGAAAUCAGUCGAAGAUACCAGCUGGCUGCAACUGUUUAUUAAAAACACAGCACUGUGCAAACACGAAAGUGGACGUAUACGGUGUGACGCCUGCCCGGUGCCGGAAGGUUAAUUGAUGGGGUUAGCGGUAACGCGAAGCUCUUGAUCGAAGCCCCGGUAAACGGCGGCCGUAACUAUAACGGUCCUAAGGUAGCGAAAUUCCUUGUCGGGUAAGUUCCGACCUGCACGAAUGGCGUAAUGAUGGCCAGGCUGUCUCCACCCGAGACUCAGUGAAAUUGAACUCGCUGUGAAGAUGCAGUGUACCCGCGGCAAGACGGAAAGACCCCGUGAACCUUUACUAUAGCUUGACACUGAACACUGGUCCUUGAUGUGUAGGAUAGGUGGGAGGCUUUGAAGCGUGGACGCCAGUCUGCGUGGAGCCAUCCUUGAAAUACCACCCUUUAAUGGCUGGUGUUCUAACGUAGACCCGUAAUCCGGGUUGCGGACAGUGUCUGGUGGGUAGUUUGACUGGGGCGGUCUCCUCCCAAAGAGUAACGGAGGAGCACGAAGGUUAGCUAAUCCUGGUCGGACAUCAGGAGGUUAGUGCAAUGGCAUAAGCUAGCUUGACUGCGAGAGUGACGGCUCGAGCAGGUGCGAAAGCAGGUCAUAGUGAUCCGGUGGUUCUGAAUGGAAGGGCCAUCGCUCAACGGAUAAAAGGUACUCCGGGGAUAACAGGCUGAUACCGCCCAAGAGUUCAUAUCGACGGCGGUGUUUGGCACCUCGAUGUCGGCUCAUCACAUCCUGGGGCUGAAGUAGGUCCCAAGGGUAUGGCUGUUCGCCAUUUAAAGUGGUACGCGAGCUGGGUUUAGAACGUCGUGAGACAGUUCGGUCCCUAUCUGCCGUGGGCGCUGGAGAAUUGAGGGGGGCUGCUCCUAGUACGAGAGGACCGGAGUGGACGCAUCACUGGUGUUCGGGUUGUCAUGCCAAUGGCACUGCCCGGUAGCUAAAUGCGGAAAAGAUAAGUGCUGAAAGCAUCUAAGCACGAAACUUGCCCC